Molecule: long non-coding RNA, 7250 nt
Filed under: Arabidopsis lyrata
Lineage: Eukaryota; Viridiplantae; Streptophyta; Magnoliopsida; Brassicales; Brassicaceae
Description: long non-coding RNA (ALYR_LNC001753)
Source: RNAcentral
AUGAUGAUACUUCUCUUGUGGUCAAUAAUUUUCAUGACCAUUCUCUUCUUAAAAAAAAAGUUGAGUGGGAAGAAAGGUAAGACACCUCCGUCACCACCGGGACUUCCGUUGAUCGGAAACCUUCAUCAGCUCGGCCGUCACACUCACCGAUCACUAUGCUCUCUCAGUCGCCGUUACGGUCCUCUUAUGCUCCUUCACUUAGGCCGUGUCCCCGUUCUUAUAGUCUCUUCCGCGGACAUGGCUCAAGAAAUCUUGAAGACGCACGACCAAGCUUUCGCAAACCGCCCACGGUCAAAACUCUCCCAGAAGCUUCUUUACAACAAUCGCGAUGUGGCCUCAGCUCCUUAUGGAGAGUAUUGGAGGCAAAUGAAGGCUGUGUGCACCAUUCAUCUCUUAAGCAACAAAAUGGUACGAUCUUUUCGAGAUGUAAGAGAAGAAGAAAUCACUUUGAUGAUGGAGAAAAUCCGGAAAUCGAGUUCUUUGCCGUUUAAUGUAAGCAAGGUCUUGGAGAGUUUAACUAACGAUGUGAUAUGUAGAGUGGCUUUAGGACGGAAAUAUGGUGGUGAAACUGACUUUAAGAAAUUAACGGAUAGACUAAGCGAGCUAUUGGGGACGUUUAGUAUAGGGAGUUUUGUACCGUGGCUUGCGUGGAUUGAUUGGAUCCGCGGUUGGGAUGCUCAGCUAGAUAAGAUGGGAAAGGAUCUUGAUGACUUCUUUGAGAAAGUUGUGCAAGAUCAUGAAGAUGGCGACAACCGAGAUAGGUUUGACUUGAUCGAUGCAUUGCUCAAAGUUAAAAGAGAGAAGAGUCCCGGGUUUGAGAUAGAGCGAGUCAGCAUAAAGGCAAUCACGUUGGUAAGGAACAAUACACACUUUUGGAUGAUACCAAUCAGAUUUUAUGAUGUUUUAGCAUAUGUAACUGUAGUUCUUGUUAUUUUUUUGUUUUCAGGAUGUUUUUGUGGGUGGUUCCGACACAUCGUUCACGCUUUUGGAAUGGGCAAUGACAGAGCUUCUACGUCACCCAGAGAGUCUGAAAAGACUCCAAGAAGAAGUGCGUACGAUUUGUAAGGGCAAAUCAAGUGUAUCAGAAGAUGACAUUAAAGAAAUGAAAUACUUAAAAGCUGUCAUCAAAGAGGCACUCAGGCUACAUCCUCCAUUUCCAAUGAUGGCUCCUCAUGAAUCAACAGAAGAUGUCAAAUUAAGAGACUACCACAUACCUGCCGGUACACAAGUGAUGAUGAAUGCUUGGGCCAUCGGGAGAGAGGUUGCGACAUGGGGACCAGACGCGGAGGAGUUUAAACCGGAGCGGCAUUUAGAUACGUCUGUUGAUUUCCGAGGUCAGAACUUUGAGCUGCUUCCAUUUGGAGCAGGGAGAAGGAUUUGUCCAGCAGUAUCAUUCGCUGUGGUAUUGAAUGAGGUGGUUUUGGCUAACUUAGUGCACGGGUUUAAUUGGAAAUUACCGGAGGAAUCUAAAGAAGACAAAACCGAUGUCGCUGAAUCCAGCGGUUUUUCGGUUCACCGCGAGUUCCCUCUUUAUGCCAUUGCAUCACCUUACUUGACCUAGGCAUUUAUAUAUAUAUAUAUAUAUUAAUGCUUUGUUAUGUUAUGUUGUGGAUUUGUUCUGAUUUCUCGCCAUGGGUUCUGGUUUUUUUUGCUUUUCUUCUCUAAGUUGUUUUCGUUAAUUGUUAUGUGAUUUUAGUUAUUUUAAUCAAUCAUCUUGCUUUCUCGCUCUCAUAAGUAACGUAGUUCUAUGACUUCAAGAUAUUGCUAUUUUACUACUCUUGUUUUCAGAAAUGUCAAGGUUGUAGACGCGAUAUACUACGUGACAACUGGCAACCAUGGCAUGAACAUCUAGGUUCUAUGGGGUAUACUCAUUGUAAUACGAAAUAUCAUGAGUGAUUUAAAUGUUCUUGGUGGAUAUGAGGUCUUGCAAAAAUGUGAAUAAUGUUGUUCCAAUGGAUUUUUCAUUUUUUAGUGGAUGUUUAUAAAUUGUGAUGUUGUUUUUUUGUAUGAACUUUUACGAGCUUAUGUGACUAGUAACCUAGUAUAUGUUCUAAGUCAUUUCUGACUAGUAUGUUCUAAGUCAUAUUCUUUUGAAGAUUGUUAGACCACCAUUAUUGGUGGUAUCUUAACUAUUUCUUAGCUAAAUCUUAGCUAAAAAAUUAAAGAAAAAUCUUAUUAAAGACUAAGAUCCAAAAUUAAAGUGGCUUAGCUAAGAUCCAAAUUUAACAUUAAGAUCCAUUUUUAAGAACCAUUUUUAAAUUUAUUAUUUUAAUACUCUUAAGAACCAUUUUUAAGCAACCCUUGUUAAUCAUGCUCUAAUACGUAUAGAUAUGAUAUGACUAUAGAGAAAUCUUCAUGGAAGGUGCGAUCCAUUGUGCUUGUUCAUCAAACGUAUGUAAUUAGUUAAGCAUUUAUUAUGAAAUCGACGAUUAAAUAGCGUUAUCGGUCAAAAUUCCUAGAGCAAAGCUACCUGUGCUAGAGGUUACGUCUUUUUUUUUCUCUUAAGUUCGAGAAAACGUUUUGUGAAAUUUGUAGUGUGUUACCAUUCUUGUCCAAUUUUUUUUUUCUUAUGAAGAUGAUAAAAAGAUCAAUAUGCUCACUCCACCGAAACCAUGUUUAUUUCUUUGAAACGGAAAAAAUGUUGGAAAUGAACUUUAUAUUUAAAAAAAAAUUAAGAGAAUGCAAUAUGUUUUCUAAUAACCACCAAACUAACCACAUGAUGAAUAAAUAUGCCCUGCAUGCUGCUAUCACAAUUCACAAAUCUAUGUGACAAUAAUGCACAUGCGUUAGAAAUGCCAUAAAUCCUUAGGCAUGUACGUAAUUAAAGGAUUGAAAACCCCACUGUCCUACUACAAAUAGAAUAAUCUCACAUGCAAGCCGCUACAAUUGACAUCUAAGUUAGGUCUCAAGGAAAAUUCAAUAUUGCCCACAUGACUCGAUUUUUUUUUUUCGUUGUUAUGUUUGUUACGCUAAAUAAUUUUAAUUCACGUCCACAAUUUCGUUCACUUAGGCACUUAAUUGGCAUCAACUAAAUAAAAGCUUGGGCUAAUUAGUGGAGGGAAAGACAAGGGCAAUGUAGUGUUUAUAAAACAUGUGAAACUGUCUAUUAUUCUUGCAAAAAUCAAUAUAUCCCUUUAAUAAUUUUUUUUUCCCUUUAAUAAUUGAUAUCCUUCAUCAGCUCGGCCUUCGCGUGGAUACGGAGCUGGUCCCGUUUGGAGCAGGGAGAAGGAUUUGCCCAGCAAUAUCAUUUGCUGUGUUAUUGGAUGAGGUGGUUUUGGCUAACUUAGUGCAUCAGUUUGAUUGGAGACUACCAGCCGGACCAAUGAAUUUUGGGGCCCUAAUAAAAUUAAGAAAAAAAUAAUAUCAUAAUUUUCAUAAUAUUAAAAAUUAUAAAGUAAAAAUAAUCAAUUUAAAUGAAACUAUUAUUUUAAAAAACAUAUUACAAUUAUAUCCUUUAAAAAGGAAAUAAUAACUUAAAUCUUAUGAAAAUUAAUUUUUUUAUGGGUUUUUUUCAAAAAUUAUUUAUCAAAUUUGCUGUUUUUUCCUCAUAUUUACAACAAUUUAUAUAUAUGUAUAACUAAAAAAACAUUUAAGUAGGCCUCUCUAAAGUGGAACCCCAUUAGAAUGUUUCAUCACCAUGUGCUCAAGUCCGGCUCUGACUACCAGUGGAAUCUACAGAAUAUCAGACCGAUGUCGCUGAAUCAACAGGCAUUGCGGUUCACCGCAUGUUCCCACUCUUCGCCAUCGCAUCACCUACUACUUGAUUUAGACAUUAUAUAUAUAUGCUUUGUUAGAAAUGUACAAUAAGCAUGUCACUGGUAAAGAGAUCUUUAAGAUUUGAGUUCUUAAGUAACUACACUAAUUUGACCCCAAAAAAAUAACUACACUAGUUAAGAAAUCCAAGUGAGCAUAAUCAGCUCCCUGGCAAUUGUCAAAGGAACAUAACAGACUGAUGUUUCCCUCUCAAUUAUGCUCAGUAUAUGUUCCACUGUAGACAUAAAUGAGUGAAUAUAAGAUAUAGAUAGAGACCAUGCAUGCAAAACUUUUUUUUUUUUAAAUAGUAAUCAUUUAGAUAUUUUUAGGGUGGAAUCAGAUUAAAACUUUUGGAACUUUAGAUAUCUUUCCGAUCUUGUAAACUUUUUAAAGAUUUUUAUGUUCCUAUUUUAAGACGAUAUAUAAAAAAUUUGAAAAAAAUGGAAUAUAUCAACCCUAAAUCACCGUAUAAUUUAGAAAAACACAUAUUGUUGAUAUCCAUAUAUAAUUACUGUUUUGUGAGUGAUGUCAUUGAUUGCUGUGGAGAGAAUGUAGAUAAGAAACCCUGAUCUUCAAAGAGAACUUGUACAUCAAGUUCUUAUUCAAACUAGACGGCACUUUAUAAUAUUCAACGUAUAAAAGUCAUUUUCGAGAGGAAUAAUAUUUCAUCGAAUUUUAUUAUUCAUGUUAGGCAGAAAAUAACAAAAUUUUAAUUGACACUAGUAGGUUUUGGUCGUCCCUGGAUAAACUUGGCUUUAUACAUAAAGUCCAAAAGAGGCACACAAUACAAUCUCGAAAAACUUGGCUUGGACAGUAUCUUUGGUCUCUGGAGAAACUUGGCUUUGUAUAUAAAGUCCAAACGAGGAACACAAAAAUCUUUAAAACUCUUUACAAGAAAAAUCUUCAAGAACUUGAAGAAUCAAAACAUGGAAAUGAUGUUCAUGAUACUUCUCAUGUGCUCAAUAAUCUUUAUUACCACUCUCUUCUUCAUAAACCAAAAUUCAAGGAAGAAAAGCAACACACCUCCGUCACCACCGAGACUUCCUUUGAUAGGAAACCUUCACCAGCUCGGCCGUCACCCUCACCGAUCACUAUGCUCUCUCAGCCACCGUUAUGGUCCUCUUAUGCUCCUCCACUUGGGCCGUGUCCCGGUUCUUGUAGUCUCUUCCGCUGACGUGGCUCGAGACGUUUUGAAGACGCAUGAUCGAGUUUUUGCUAGCCGUCCAUGGUCUAAAAAUACCGAGAAGCUUCUUUACGACGGGCGUGAUGUGGCCUUAGCUCCUUAUGGAGAGUACUGGAGGCAAAUGAAGAGUGUGUGCGUCCUCAGUUUGCUAAGCAACAAAAUGGUACGAUCCUUUCGAGAUGUGAGACAACAAGAGAUCAGUCUUAUGAUGGAGAAGAUCGGGCAAUCGAGUUCUUUGCAGGUGAAUCUGAGCGAGAUAUUGGCGAGUUUAACGAAUGAUGUGAUAUGUAGGAUUGCUUUGGGACGGAAAUAUGGCGGUGAAACAGAUUUUAAGGAGUUAAUGAAGAGGCUUACAAGGCUUUUAGGGGCGGUUAGUGUGGGAAAUCAUGUACCAUGGCUUUCAUGGAUUGAUUGGCUCUGCGGUUUGGAUGGUCAGCUAGAAAAGACGAGAAAUGAUCUUGAUGAGUUUCUUGAGAGAGUUGUGCAAGAUCAUGUAGAUGUCAACGGAGAUAGCACUGAUUUCGUUGAUGUAUUGCUCGCCAUUCAGAGAGAGAAGAGUGUGGGGUUUGAGAUCGACCGCGUCAGCAUAAAGGCAAUCAUCUUGGUAAAGGGGGAAAACAAGAAAAUAAAUUCAUAUUCAAUGAUGUUUUAGCAUGCAUAAAACUGUAGUUCUUGUUUUGGUUUUCAGGAUAUUUUUGUGGGUGGUACGGACACAUCGUACACACUUAUGGAAUGGGUAAUGACAGAGCUUUUACAUCACCCAGAGUGUCUGAAGAGACUUCAAGAAGAAGUCCGUACGAUUUGUAAGGGCAAAUCAAGUGUAUCAGAAGAAGACAUUAAAGACAUGAACUACUUAAAAGCUGUGAUCAAAGAGACAUUGAGGCUACAUCCUCCACUUCCAUUGAUGGUUCCUCAUGAAUCAACACAAGAUGUUAAAUUAAGAGACUACCACAUACCAGCCGGAACAGUGGUUAUGAUCAAUGCAUGGGCGAUCGGGAGAGAGGCUGCGACAUGGGGACCAGACCCGGAGGAGUUUAGACCGGAGAGACAUUUCAAUUCUUCUGUUGAUUUCCGGGGUCAGGAUUUUGAGCUGAUUCCGUUUGGGGCAGGGAGAAGAAUAUGCCCGGCAAUAUCAUUUGCUGUGGUAUUGAAUGAAGAAGUUUUGGCUAACUUAGUGCAUCGGUUUGAUUGGAGACUACCGGAUGAAUCUACGGAAGAUCAAACAGGUGUUGUUGCUGAAUCAACCGGAGUUGCCAUUCACCGCAUGUUCCCUCUUUAUGCUAUUGCAUCAUCUACUACUUGACUAAGGCUUUAUAUUAUGUUACUAGAUUAGGACCCGUUUGAUAUAUGGGUUAAUCAAUAAAUGUUUUUAUAAAGUUUAAUAAGUUUUUUUGCAGUUGUAUCCGAAUAUUUAUAGGCUACGAAAGUACCUAUAAGAUAUGGUGAAAUGAAAGGAAGAGUUUGAUUACAAAAGCUUGUCUAAAAGACUUGAGGUACAACUAGACAAUCUAAUUGAGAAAAAUGAAAGGCAGUAAAAAGCUUUGUUGAUGAAAUCGAAAUCAUAACCAAAUUUCCGAGGCUGAAAAGAGAUAUGCCAAUGCCUUAGAGGUGAGUUACUUUUUGGUGUGUUUUUACAGAUUUCUUCAAAGUUAUUAGCGUUGAUAUUUAAAUACUCUAGUUAACAUUUAUCAAAAAAUAGGUGAUAGAAUCACACCUAAAAUUUGAAAAGUUAUUUCGAAUAUACAAAUAAGGACUAUAUCUUUUAGGAGAUAAAUAGUUUUUGUGGACCUUGUAUACCUAUUAAAAAAUCUAACGAAAUAGGUAUCUCAAAAAUUACAAAAGUAAAAGAUGUUUUUUUUGUUUGGUCAACUUAAUAUGGAGAGAUUUUUUACCUUUAAUAUAUAGGAUUUGAGAGAAUCUAUUUAAAUCAAAUUUAUUUUCCUAUUUAGGGAAAACAGAAGAAAAUUUGAGUGGACACUAGUUACGUAACGCAUAGAAGAAAUUUGGCUUAUAUAUGACCCAAGUGGCCAAGUCCACAAGAAGAACACAAAAAGAUUAAGAAACUCUUCACGAGAAAAACUUGAAGAAUCCCAAUUUACAAAAUAUGAUCAUGAUACUUUUCUUAUGCUUAGUAUUGUUCAUAGCCAUUCUCUUCUUCAAAAAACAGAAGACAUCGAUCACAUUUCCAUCCCCACCGAGACUACCGUUGAUCGGAAACCUUCAUCAGCUCGGCCAACAUCCUCACCGAUCACUAUGCUAUCUCAGCCACCGUUACGGUCCUCUCAUGCUCCUCCACUUCGGAAGUGUCCCCGUU